UGAGCCAAGUUUAGGGUUACUUAAAAACCCGAUGCAGUAUUGAACUGAAGAGUUUGAUCAUGGCUCAGAUUGAACGCUGGCGGCAGGCUUAACACAUGCAAGUCGAGCGGUAACAGAG
RNAcentral lists this ribosomal RNA (118 nucleotides) under Gammaproteobacteria bacterium. RNAcentral's name for it is "partial 16S ribosomal RNA". The stretch from base 42 to 118 matches the Rfam family "Bacterial small subunit ribosomal RNA", at positions 1 to 77 of the family's 1533-position model. Lineage: Bacteria; Pseudomonadati; Pseudomonadota; Gammaproteobacteria. The record is from RNAcentral.